GACGAACGCUGGCGGCGUGCUUAACACAUGCAAGUCGAACGGAAAGGCCCUGCCUUUGUUGGGUGCUCGAGUGGCGAACGGGUGAGUAACACGUGAGUAACCUGCCCUUGACUUUGGGAUAACUUCAGGAAACUGGGGCUAAUACCGGAUAGGAGCUCCUGCUGCAUGGUGGGGGGUGGAAAGUUUCGGCGGGGGGGGAUGGGCUCGCGGCUUAUCAGCUUGUUGGUGGGGUAGUGGGGUACCAAGUCUUUGACGGGUAGACGCGCUGUGAGGGUGUACGGGGACAUUUGGACUGAGAUACGGCCCAGAGGCCUACGGGGGGGAGCAGUGGGGAAAAUUGUACAAUGGGGGCGAGCCUGAUGCAGCGACGCCGCGUGGGGGAGGACGGGCUUCGGGGUGUGAAAACCGUUCGCGCGGGACGAAGAGUUAUGUGACGGUAAAUGGAGAAGAAGCACCGGCUAAAUACGUG
RNAcentral lists this ribosomal RNA (469 nucleotides) under uncultured bacterium. Its description in RNAcentral is "partial 16S ribosomal RNA". It matches the Rfam family "Bacterial small subunit ribosomal RNA", at positions 28 to 507 of the family's 1533-position model. The record is from RNAcentral.